UACGGAGGGUGCAAGCAUUAAUCGGAUUUAUUGGGCGUAAAGGGCGCGUAGGCUGGGAUAUAAGUCAGAUGUGAAAUCCCGGGGCUCAACCUCGGAACAGCAUUUGAAACUGCAUCCCUAGAGGGUAGGCGGAGAAAACGGAAUUCCACAAGUAGCGGUGAAAUGCGUAGAUAUGUGGAAGAACACCGGUGGCGAAGGCGGUUUUCUAGCUUAAACCUGACGCUGAUGCGCGAAAGCAAGGGGAUCAAACAGG
RNAcentral lists this ribosomal RNA (253 nucleotides) under uncultured bacterium. RNAcentral's name for it is "partial 16S ribosomal RNA". It matches the Rfam family "Bacterial small subunit ribosomal RNA", at positions 524 to 776 of the family's 1533-position model. The record is from RNAcentral.